This 204-nucleotide long non-coding RNA is filed under the name Homo sapiens (human). Its description in RNAcentral is "non-protein coding lnc-SOD3-12:1". The record is from RNAcentral. Lineage: Eukaryota; Metazoa; Chordata; Mammalia; Primates; Hominidae.
AGUUUCCAGCCUGCCCUACCAAUUGUAGCCUUGCCAGCCUCCACAAUCACAUGAACUAAUUUCUUUUUUUUUUUUUUUAGACGGAGUCUCACUCUGUCGCCCAGGCUGGAGUGUUGUGGACUAUUCCCAAGAGCCUGUUUCUCAGUACAACGACUGUGUUCUUGUUCCCCGCACAUGCUACCUCACCCUCCUCUGCCUGUAGAU